AUACGGAGGGUGCAAGCGUUAUCCGGAAUCAUUGGGUUUAAAGGGUCCGCAGGCGGAUUAAUAAGUCAGUGGUGAAAUCCUCUCGCUCAACGAGAGAACUGCCAUUGAAACUGUUAGUCUUGAAUUCGGUCGAAGUAGGCGGAAUGUGUCAUGUAGCGGUGAAAUGCAUAGAUAUGACACAGAACACCGAUAGCGAAGGCAGCUUACUAGACCUGGAUUGACGCUCAUGGACGAAAGCGUGGGGAGCAAACAGGAUUAGAAACCCCGGUAGUCC
RNAcentral lists this ribosomal RNA (274 nucleotides) under uncultured bacterium. RNAcentral's name for it is "partial 16S ribosomal RNA". It matches the Rfam family "Bacterial small subunit ribosomal RNA", at positions 523 to 796 of the family's 1533-position model. The record is from RNAcentral.